GAUGGAUCCCAUUAUCCAGGCUUUCUGCAAUAGAGCUCUCAGUUCCGGUAGCAUGUUCUUGCUGUUGCAAUUCAUCACAAGACUGAGGAGCAUUAAGUUUUGACAACAGGUUUAUGGCUUCAUCAACAGCAACACUAGCAGCAUAAAGCCCCAACUUCUUCACCUCCAAUAUAUCUUCCUUAGAUCGGUGGCCUUUGGGUAGCAAGCGAAACUCCUCCGUCAAGCGAAUACACU
This 234-nucleotide unclassified non-coding RNA is filed under the name Hevea brasiliensis (rubber tree). Lineage: Eukaryota; Viridiplantae; Streptophyta; Magnoliopsida; Malpighiales; Euphorbiaceae. The record is from RNAcentral.